RNAcentral lists this ribosomal RNA (401 nucleotides) under uncultured bacterium. RNAcentral's name for it is "bacterial SSU rRNA". It matches the Rfam family "Bacterial small subunit ribosomal RNA", at positions 355 to 772 of the family's 1533-position model. The record is from RNAcentral.
UAGGGAAUUGUUCGCAAUGGGCGCAAGCCUGAUGCAGCGAUGCCGCGUGCGGGAAGAAGGCCUUAGGGUUGUAAACCGCUUCCAGCAGGGAAGAAAAUGACGGUACCUGCAGAAGAAGGAGCGGCCAACUACGUGCCAGCAGCCGCGGUGACACGUAGGCUCCAAGCGUUGUCCGGAUUUAUUGGGCGUAAAGAGCUCGUAGGCGGUUUAGUAAGUCGGGUGUGAAAACUCUGGGCUUAACCCAGAGACGCCACCCGAUACUGCUAUGACUUGAGUACGGUAGGGGAGUGGGGAAUUCCUGGUGUAGCGGUGAAAUGCGCAGAUAUCAGGAGGAACACCAGUGGCGAAGGCGCCACUCUGGGCCGAAACUGACGCUGAGGAGCGAAAGCGUGGGUAGCAAA